AUGAUGGAAAUCACACAUUCUAA
RNAcentral lists this small nuclear RNA (23 nucleotides) under Arabidopsis thaliana (thale cress). RNAcentral's name for it is "snRNA_07212". The record is from RNAcentral. Lineage: Eukaryota; Viridiplantae; Streptophyta; Magnoliopsida; Brassicales; Brassicaceae.